Molecule: ribosomal RNA, 490 nt
Filed under: uncultured bacterium
Lineage: Bacteria
Description: partial 16S ribosomal RNA
Rfam family: Bacterial small subunit ribosomal RNA
Source: RNAcentral
AUUGAACGCUGGCGGCAGGCCUAACACAUGCAAGUCGAACGGUAACAGGAAGCAGCUUGCUGCUUUGCUGACGAGUGGCGGACGGGUGAGUAAUGUCUGGGAAACUGCCUGAUGGAGGGGGAUAACUACUGGAAACGGUAGCUAAUACCGCAUAACGUCGCAAGACCAAAGAGGGGGACCUUAGGGCCUCUUGCCAUAGGAUGUGCCCAGAUGGGAUUAGCUAGUAGGUGGGGUAACGGCUCACCUAGGCGACGAUCCCUAGCUGGUCUGAGAGGAUGACCAGCCACACUGGAACUGAGACACGGUCCAGACUCCUACGGGAGGCAGCAGUGGGGAAUAUUGCACAAUGGGCGCAAGCCUGAUGCAGCCAUGCCGCGUGUAUGAAGAAGGCCUUCGGGUUGUAAAGUACUUUCAGCGGGGAGGAAGGGAGUAAAGUUAAUACCUUUGCUCAUUGACGUUACCCGCAGAAGAAGCACCGGCUAACUCCGUG